This 6417-nucleotide long non-coding RNA is filed under the name Sus scrofa (pig). RNAcentral's name for it is "lncRNA (ENSSSCG00065017867.1)". The record is from RNAcentral. Lineage: Eukaryota; Metazoa; Chordata; Mammalia; Artiodactyla; Suidae.
UUUUUUUUUUUUUUUUUUUUUUUGCCACACCACAUCAUGUGAAAGUUCCCUAGCCAAGGAUCAAACCUAUACCAUGGGAUCCUUAACCCGUUUCACCACAAGGGAACUCUCCAGGCUCUUUUUUUUUUUUGUCUUUUUAGGGCUGCACCCGUGGCAUGUGGAACUUCCCAGGCUAGAGGUCAAAUCAGAGCUGCAGCGGCUGGCCUACACCACAGCUCACGGCAAUGCUGGAUCCUUAACCCACCGAGUGGGCCAGGGAUCACACACACAUCCUCAUGGAUGCUAGUCGGGUUCAUUACCACUGAGCCACAAUGGGAACUGCCCCGGGCUGUUUCUUGGAUACCAUUUUGACACAGGUGCCACCAGAGGACCUGCACUAAUUUGGAUCCUGUGUCUUUCACACAACGCCGUGACCAGGGCAUUUCCGCAUUUCAUGUAUCCUGUGUACAGUUUUGUGUUCAGCUUUUACUCAGUGAAAAUUGUUCAAAUAUUAAAGCUCUUUGUAGAUACAUAAUCUCAUAGCUGCAUAACAUGUUCUCUUUUUUUUUUUUGUCUUUUCGUCAUUUUAGGACCGCACCCACAGCAUAUGGAGGUUCCCAGGCUAUGGUUCGAAUUGGAGCUGAAGUCACCUGCCUAUGCCACAAGCCACAGUAACACUGGAUCCGAGCCACAUACGCAACCUACACCACACAGCUCACGCCAAUGCUGGAUCCUUAACCCACUGAGCGAGGCCAGGGAUCGAACCCUCAUCCUCAUGGAUGCUAGUCGGGUACCUUAACCGCUGAGCCACGAUGGGAAUUCCUGAUCUGUUAAUUUUUUUUAAAAUUUUUGACUGCGCCCGUGGCGGGCAGAAGUUCCCAGACCAGGUAUCAAACCUGAGCCAUAGCAGUGACAAGGCCAGAUCCUUAUCCUGCUGAGCCACCAGGGAACUCCUGACCUAUUAAUUUUUGAUAUCUUAAAUAAGAAAUGUUAUAAGUUCCUUUGUGGUGCAGUGGGUUAAGAAUCCGGUGUUGUCACUGCAGUGGCCCAGGUCACUGCUGUGGUGUGGGUUCAGUCCCUGGCCCUCCACAUGCUAUGGGCAUGGCCAAAAAAAGAAAGAAAAAGGAAUGUUACUGUUUAUAUAGUCAAAUCUAUUGGUUAUUUUUGGUGAUUCAUUCGUCCCUUUAGAAGAGCCUUUAAAAUUUAUACAAGUUAUACAUAUUAAUUGCAGAAAAAUUAGAUAUUAGAUAUAAGAAAAAAGAAAAAAUCAACUAUAAUCCUACUGUUUAGAAAUAACUACUGUAAAUAUUUUGAUGCACCAAUUUCCAGACUUUUUUCCUAUACAUAUGUGUACAUUGUAACUGUUACAUAAUUUCUUUCUUUUUCUUUCUUUCUUUCUUUCAGUCUUUUUAGGGCUGUACACAUGGCAUAUGGAAGGUCCCAUACGGAUCAAAUCAGAGCUGCAGUUGCUGAUGUACGCCACAGCCACAGAACACAGUAUCUGAGCCUCAUCUUCGACCUACACCACAACUCACAGCAAUGCCAGAUCCCUGACCUACUGAGCAGGACCUGGGAUUGAACCCGCAUCCUCAUGGGUACUAGUUGGGUUCGUUACUGCAGAGCCACGAGAGGAACUCCACAUAAUUUCUUUAUAUAAAAAUGGGAUCCUGGUAUAUGCAUAUUUUAUGAGAUGGUUUUGAAAAUUUUAACAGUAUGGUAACAUCUUUUCCUCAAUAAAUACAGGAUUCCAUAAUCUUUUUUUUUUUUUUCCUUUGGCCACACCCAAGGCAUGUGGAAGUUCCCAGGCAGGGAUCGAACCCAUGCCACAGCAGUGACCCAAGGAACAAUGCCAAAUCCUUAACCUGCUGUACCAUAAGGGAACUCCCCCAUGAUCAUCUUUAAUGACUGAAUUCCUGGACUAUUACAUUACUGAAUCAGAAGAUAGGAUAAUUUCAAUAUUUUUGCUGCAUAUUGCUGAACUGUCCCCCAGAUAUGUUGUAUCAGUUUACACUGACUGUCAGUCAGCAGAGGCAUGAAAUAACAAGUAUUUCUCCAUAUCAGAAUAUCAAAUCAUCAUUAUUUUAUAUCCUUGCUGUUCUGAAGAGGUUUUUUUUAAUAUUUCUCUUUGUUUUAAUUCACAUUUCUUUGACUGCUUGUGAUAUUGCACACUUUUUCUUUUUUUCGUAGAUAUAUUGGCCAUGUAAAUUUCUCUUGUUAAUGGCCUGUUCAUAUUCUUUGUCUGUUUAUUAGGAUGGUGAUACUUUUCUUUGAUUUCAAGAGCCAUAAGAAUUUUAACCCUUUGUCCAUUAUGCAUAUCGCAACUAUUUCCUCAUAAGAAUUUUGUUUGUUUGUUUUGCUUUUUAGGGGUGCACCCGCAGCAUAUGGAGGUUCCUAGGCUAGGGGUUGAAUCAGAGCUGCAGCUGCCUGCCUACACCACAGCCACAGCCAUGCCAGAUCCUUCACCCACUGAGGCCAGGGGUCGAACCCAUAACCUCACGGUUCCAUUCAUUCCGUUGUGCCACAAUGGGAACUCCAGAAGUUUUUUUUUAUAUUAAACCUUUUAUUUGCUUUAGUUCGCCAUAUUCUUCUUUUUUUUUUUUUUUUCUUUUUUUUUAACUUUUUUGGCCAUCCUGGCAGCAUAUGGAGUUCUGGGGCCAGGGAUCAGAUCUGAGCUGCAGCUGUGACCUUAUGCCCUAGCUGAAGCAAAGCCAGAUUCUUAACACACGGUGCCAGGCCAGGGACUGAAUCUGCAUCCAGGCGCUCCAGUGACACCACCGAUCCUAUUGCGCUACAGUGGGAGGGAACUCCUAGAACUUUUAAUUUUGUAGAGUAAAAUCCAUCAACUUUUUGUUUAGCAAUGUCCUUGGUUCUUUUGUAUCAUGCUUAGAAGGACUUUCUUUAACCCCAAAUUUUGUUAUAUCUAUUUUUUUCUAGUGCAUGGUUAAAUCCUGACUCCAUCUGGAAAUUAUUUUGGUAUGCAGUAUGAGUGUACAGCAAGGGGAUCAAGUUAUCCUUACAUGUAUACAUUACAACUACAUUUUUUUUCCCCAUCCUUUGUUCUGUUGCAACGUGAGUAUCUAGACAAAGUUUCAAUGCUACGCAGCAGGAUCUCCUUGUAGAUCUAUUCUAAGUUGUGUCUGAUAUAUAUUUUCUUCUGUUACUUCAUCUAUUUCUUCCAUGCCUCUAUGUCCACAUUGGGACAUUGUUAUAAUCACAAUGAUCUUAUCAUAUAUCUCUCUUUUCAAAAAUUGUUUUAGCUAUUAUAGUUUUUUCCCACAUGAAUUUUAGGAUUGUUCUGCUAAAUUAAAAAAAAAAUCCAACAGGAUUUGCAUUCAAUUACAAUUGCAUUAGGAGUUCCCCGGGUGGCCCAGCAGGUUAAGGAUAUGAUAUUGUAACUGCAGUGGCUCAGGUUGCUGAGCCACAGAUUCGAUCCCUGGCCGAGGAGCUUCCACAUGCCACAGGUGCAGCCAAAAAAAUUCUAAUUCCAAAUUUUGGAAUAUUCCAUAUAAAUGUGUACUUGUAGUUCAAUACAUGAUCUUAGAAAUGAAUGGUGGUGUACAACUACAAAUGUAAUAAAAUUGAGUAAUUAAAAAAUAAAAUACAUUUCUAUAAAAAAAGAAAUGAAUGGUAAUAAAAUUGGGAAAUUUUUCCUUUUUUAAUUUGGGAACUGCCUUGUCUCAUAUUACAAUGAAAUGUAAAAGAAUAUCUAUUGUUAAUAAUCAUAAAUUAGGAGUUCCUGUUCAUGGUGCAACGGAAACAAAUCUGACUAGGAACCAUGAGGUUGAGGGUUCGAUCCUUGGCCUCCCUCAGUGGGUUAAGGAUCCGGCAUUGCUGUGAGCUGCGGUGUAGGUUGCAGACGAGUCUCAGAUCUGGCAUUGCUGUGGCUGUGGCCUAGGCGGGCAGCUGUAAUUCCAAUCAGACCCCUAGGCUGGGAACCUCCAUAUGCCGCGGGUGCGGCCCUAAAAAGACAAAAAGACCAAAACAAAAAUCAUAAAUUAUAGUAAUAGCUGGCACCUAUGAAGCACUGUUCCAAGUUCUAGAUCCUUAUGUAAACAUGAGCUUAUACUUUUAGUAUCCCAACUUAGGGAUAAGAGAAAGGUGAAGUAGCUUACCCAAGGUUAUGCAGCUAGUAGUCAGUGGAUACCAAAACCAUUAGCUAUGACCAGUGCUCUUUAUGCAAGGUAGCAAUUAAAGAGAAGGGAAAAGAUCAGUUAACAUAAAAUAGCCGUGGAGUUCUCCUGUGGCGCAGCAGGUUAAGGAUCUGGAGGUGUCACCUUAGUCCUUGGGCUGCUGCUGCAGUGCGGGUUUGAUCCCUGUCCUGGGAACUUUCACAUGUUGCAGGUGCAGCCAAAGAGAGAGAAAGAGAGAGAAAACCCACAGCUGUUAGAAACCUCCUCUACAAAUGGCCAUGAGGUCUGAGUUGAUCAUCACAGCUGUAUUCUUGCAUCACAUUCGUGUUGCUUCUACCCUCAGCUGGGCAGAGCUCUAGGCUUGGUAAGGAGACUCAAAACUUUAUUCCUGUAGGACUUGAGUUCUUGAUGGUCCUGUCUUUAUUGGAUUGCUGUCCGUUCCCACUCACCAAAUCUUCAGGACAAGGGAUGUGUCCCCAGUGAAUCCUUGGAUUCCAGACAUUUCCUUUUUCCUCCACUAAGCAGCAGAGCAGAUUCCCUUGGCAAUCACACUUCGUGAAGGCUGAGUUUGGUGACUGCCGUGGCUGGGGCUGCUAAAACACACCACCAUAGACUGAGCAGCUUAAACAGCAGGUCAUUUCUCACAGUUCUGGUCAUUUCUCACAGAUCCCACAGACCGAGAUCAGGGUGUCAGUCUGGUUGGGUUCCAGUGAGAGUCCUCUUCCUGGCUCAGAGAAGGCUGCCCUCUUACUGCACCCUUACAUGGCAGAGAGAGCACAACAGAGAGACAGAGAAAGGAAGGGCUCUGAUUCUUCUCCUUCUUCUAAGGACACUAAAUUCCAUCAUGCAGCUCGACUCCUGUGACCUCAUCCAAAAACCUCAACUCCUAACACCAUUACACUCGAUUGUGGGGUAACAUAAACAUUCAGCUCCUAUUAGUGACCCCCUUUUCUGCCUUUUGAUUCAGCAGCAUGAAGGGUCCCAGGCAUCAGGGAAGCAGCUUCGGCUCCAAUUGAAUGGAGCCAUGAUAGUGUUUUCUGCCAUAAACAUCCCUCCGCUGGGCACUAGGACCUCUGGACCCACUGAGCCUCAGAUGACUGGCAAGGAAAGCAAAAAAAUUCUUCCAGUGAGUUAUUAGGGGUCAUAGUGAGAGAAGCCAUCCCUACCUCCUCUCCUUGGAACAUUCUGGACAUGUCUAAGUCCAGACGUGGUAGUGCUAGCAGAAGCCCUGCUGGCAAGGAAGGCAAAUCCAUACCCAGAACACGUGUCUGUCCCUGUGAGGACCAGGCGCUGUCCACACGUCUUAGUCUUCCUGCUAACAAGAGACUAUUGUUUUGCCUUCAGGGUGAGACCUUCCCCUUGGAGAGGCGCCCUCUGCUGGCCUUUCCUAGGAUCUGCGGCCUUGAGCAUCCUCUUCUCAUUGGCCUGUAUCCCUUUUGGGGGUUCCUCACUCCUUUGGGUAGUCCUUGAUUUGAGGAGUUUCAGAUGUCUCCUACUUUCAUCGAUAGUGUCGUUUGCGGUUCUGCUUCUCAUUCUCCUUGUGCUUUUGUGGGAUAGUCGAGAGGCAUAGAGAAAAAUGGCAACUUGACUGUAGUUUUUAAUACUGAAAUCUGGUAAAAUUUUAUAAAGUAUGGUAAUUCGAAAUGUUGUUAUUGGAUUGUAUCUUAUUAUAAAUUAUGGUGUCCUCUCUGGCAUUCUUAAAUGAGUUUUGAAAAUUUGGACUAAUACAAUACUAAUAAAUAUUUGUAUUCAUCUAAGUCUCUAAGAUUUUUAAGUUCCAAAGCAAUCCAGUACAAGAAGAAGAAAAACGAACUGAUGAUGUUAGAAAUAAGGCUACUGGAGUUCUCAUCGUGGCUCAGUGGAAACGACUCUGAUUAGUAUGUAUGAGGACGCAGGUUCGAUCCCUGGAUUAAGGAGCCGGCGUUGCCAUGAGCUGUGGUGUGGGUGGCAGACAGGGCUCCGAUCCUGAGUUGCUGUGGCUGUGGUGUAGGCUGGAGGCUACGGCUCUGAUUCGACCCCCAGCCUGGGAACCUACAUAUGCUGCGGGUGGGGCCCUAAAAAAAAAAAAAAUAAGGCUUCUGGUCAGUCUGGGCAGCAGUCAUUGGAGGGGGCUGGGAUGGGAGCUUCUGCAGGGAGUCAUGGUCUGUUUCUUGAUCUGGGUUCUAGGUAUACAGCGUGUUCUGUUUGUUAACAUGAGUGAACUUGCUUAGGAUAUGUGAUUUUUCUCUAUGUAUUUUAUGUGUUAACAAUUAUUUUUAACCCAAAUUAGAACACCCUAUAAUUAAAAAUAAAUAAUUAUCCUAGUAAG